Molecule: long non-coding RNA, 765 nt
Organism: Prionailurus viverrinus (fishing cat)
Lineage: Eukaryota; Metazoa; Chordata; Mammalia; Carnivora; Felidae
Exons: 7
Source: RefSeq, a predicted model, not a curated record
CCUGUAGGUUGGCACAUUCUAAAAGGAAAUGCUAGACCCCCUAGCUAUGGAGGGCAUGCAAAGGGGCCUGAGGAAAGAGCAACUUGGUGAGCAGCAAGCAGAAAAGCUAACCACGACUUCCUUCUGCACUUCAGCUUCCAAGAUUGAAGCAAGCCUGUCUAGAGGAAUGAGAGACGUUUGCAACCGAGUGCCUGCUCGUCCAGCUCACUCCAGGUACCAUGACCUUGUCGCAGCCUAUUCGCAGUCCAGAGAAACUGAAGGAAACUGAUUGCAUUAGCUCAGAUGAUCUUCCUUCAAAACAAGGCUGGAUCUUAUGUCAGAAUGAUUGCAGGAAAGAGGCCUGGCCGAAGAAGCAGAGAAGCUCUGGCUUCAGAAACGUUCAAGGUUUAAACGUUGACUCUAUCUCCGCAAGCCAAAGUGUCUGUUCUAAAAGAAGUCCAGCACCUUACAAUUUUUGCAACUGGUCAAAAGAAAGAGAGCUACCAUGCAGGAAUAAUUGGACCAUGCCUGGACAAGCACAAUGAGUUGGACGCAAGCCUUCAAUUCUAAUCUGGCAGCACACUUGUUGAUAAAUUGCAAAACGUCUCCUGGUUUCCAUGGAAAAAAAGGAAGGAUGAUGCUCAGCUGUGGAUAAUAUCAACAACGAUGGGAUGAACAAUUUUGAUGAAUGCAAACUGAAAGAAAAUGCAGCAUAUGAAAUUCACAUUUUGGUAUAUUUUUAUUUGCUAAGUCUUUUCAGCUUUAAUAAACACAUGUCAAGAUAUA